Molecule: unclassified non-coding RNA, 971 nt
Filed under: uncultured fungus
Lineage: Eukaryota; Fungi
Description: sequence contains 18S rRNA gene, ITS1, 5.8S rRNA gene, ITS2, 28S rRNA gene
Source: RNAcentral
UGCAGAAUGCUUUCAAAUUCACCCGACCCGGUACGACCGUCACCCUACGCAGCAGCGCGACCCCCGACCGUGUGCUGAUCGAAGUCGAGGACGAAUGCGGCGGGCUGCCGGACGGCAACGUCAACGCCUUGUUCCAGCCGUUUGAGCAACGUGGUGUAGACCGAACGGGGUUAGGUCUCGGUCUCACGAUCAGCCGCUGGGGCGCCGAGGCCAACAACGGUCGAAUCUGCGCGCGCGAUCUGCCGGGCCACGGCUGCAUCUUUAUCAUCGACCUGCCGCGGGCGACGGUCUCGCUGUCGGCCACCUGCGUCACCCAGGAUGUCGCACACGUGGGGUGAUGAAGCUUGCGGCGCCGGUCGUCGCUUCGUGUCAUGAUGACCAGGCGGGUCUCGGUGCUGGGCCGAACCGAUCGGAAGAAACUGGCGGUUGGUCUAGAGUGGCUUCCACUCCGCCCGCAACGCGACGUCCAAUGAGCAAGUCCAAACGCGCACAGUCGCGCGAAGUGACGCCGGCCGUCAAUUGGACCGGCGUUCAUGCACAACGCGCCGAAUACGCACCCGGAACGACUAUUUUCGGGCAAGGCGAUCCGGCACCGAGCAUCAUGUACGUCGAGAAGGGCGCCGUGCGGCUGUCAGUCCUUUCUCACUCCGGAAAAGAAGCAAUCGUCGCAGUGUUGGAUCCCGGUCACUUCUUUGGCGAGGGCUGCUUGGCAGGGCAGACUCAAAGGAUGGCGACGGCGACGGCGAUGGAUGCCUGCAUCGUUUUGAUGGUUGAGAAGCCGGAGAUGGCGCAACAACUGCGGGCCCGGCCCGAUUUCGCCGAGCGAUUCCUGAGCCACAUGCUGACGCGGAACAUCCGCAUCGAAGAGGAUCUCGUCGAUCAACUCUUCAACUCCACAGAGAAGCGCUUAGCGCGCACGCUCUUGCUGCUGGCACGAUACGGUGAACCACAGGUCUCUCACCGCGCCCUCC